Molecule: ribosomal RNA, 250 nt
Filed under: uncultured bacterium
Lineage: Bacteria
Description: partial 16S ribosomal RNA
Rfam family: Bacterial small subunit ribosomal RNA
Source: RNAcentral
UACAGAGGGUGCAAGCGUUAUUCGGAGUUAUUGGGCGUAAAGAGCGCGUAGGUGGUUCGAUAAGUUUGUUGUGAAAGCCCUGGACUCAAUCCAGGAAGUGCAUCGAAUACUGUCGAACUAGAGUGCAGGAGAGGUGAGCGGAAUUCCAGGUGUAGAGGUGAAAUUCGUAGAUAUCUGGAGGAACAACAGUGGCGAAGGCGGCUCACUGGACUGCAACUGACACUGAGGCGCGAAAGCGUGGGGAGCAAAC